UUUUACACAAGCGCCCUCUAAGGUCCCCUUUAGUAAACAUUAAAAUUAUAACAUAUACUGCAUGUCUCUUUAUUUUCCCUCUCUAUAUGCUAUUUCGUUUACGUGACUGGGUUUUCUCUCUACUGCGAUUACUCUCUACUGCGAUUACUCUUGUCCUCCGUUCGUUCUCCAUCCCUCACCGUCGUCGUCGCCGUCACCUUUUUCUGCUGCUGCGUUCACGUUCACUGAGUUAUCUGCGUCCACCGUCGCUGUUCA
RNAcentral lists this long non-coding RNA (255 nucleotides) under Lathyrus oleraceus (garden pea). Its description in RNAcentral is "Pisum sativum (pea) long non-coding RNA (PSAT_LNC029562)". Lineage: Eukaryota; Viridiplantae; Streptophyta; Magnoliopsida; Fabales; Fabaceae. The record is from RNAcentral.